Non-coding RNA from Amphiprion ocellaris (clown anemonefish), 715 nucleotides. NCBI's taxonomy places the organism in Eukaryota, Metazoa, Chordata, Actinopteri, Pomacentridae. The record is from the annotation of a RefSeq genome assembly.
UGGAACAAGUCUGACAUGUCAUGUAAGGUUUGAGGAAGCAAAAAUGAUCUGUUUUCUCCUCUUCGUUUAUCUGGCAGGUGUUAGUCUGGGGCUUGAGGUGCGUCAGUCUUCUUCUGAAAUCAUCACCAAACCUGGAGACAAAGUGGAGGUUUUCUGCAGCCAUAACAAAACUGACUACAGGACAAUGCUCUGGUACCAGCGGUCACCUGGAGACACAGCCAUGAAACUCAUUGGGUAUUUGAACUAUAAAAAUGUUCAAAUGGAAGAGCCAUACAGCAAGGACUUCACUAUCUCUGGAGAUUUGGGUGGCAAUACAGCAAAGAACGGCUCUCUUACAGUUGAACUCGCAGAACACAAACACAGCGCCGUUUACUACUGUGCAGCAAGUCAAGCACGAUAACAAAAAUCCUCUCUAAACUUUACAAAAACUGCAUCUUAAUCAUCAGUGGUGUGAAUACGACAGAAUAAACCGCUCUCAGACACCUGCUCUUGUGGUUGUAUCAGGGUUUGAUAUAAUCCAUGGCAAAAGAUUCUGAGCAUUAAACACGUCAUUUCCUGCAUUCUGGUGAAUUUUUAGGCACCAAUUUGAGACAUUUUUGCAUCAAUAUAUGGAGAAUUUGUCUUUGUUUUGGGUUUCUGAAAUGCUUUUCAUCAUUUACUCUCCUGAAGAUCAAAUUUUCGCAUUCAACAUUACCCCUGCUGAUUCACAACACAC